UCAAGGAAAGAGGCUUCUGACAGUCGUCUUCACCCCAGAACCAGCGAGGUCUCUGGUCCCUGGGGCAGCUGAGCCUGCUGUUUGCCUGCAAAUGCUUUCCAAUUCUUCUGGCAACUCUAAGGUUUCCCAAGCACACAGAUGACCACUUCUGAUCUACGGCAUGUGCAGAGCAAAAUCUGAUUGCCACCAAGAGUCCUCAAGCCCCAAAGCCACAUCCUGGGAAAUCACGUCCCACGAGAAGCAUGCUGCACCACACUUCAUUUGGGGAAACCUGUUUAUGAGAAAAAUGUGCACGGCUGCUUCGGACUGACUUGUUUUGCCUCCCUUGAAGCAGAGGAAUUUCGCCUGUUAGCUAAGCAUUGCCAAGAGAGAUUUUGUAAUUGCAAUGAGAAUGUGGUGUUUGCGCUC
Long non-coding RNA from Ornithorhynchus anatinus (platypus), 408 nucleotides. RefSeq lists it as uncharacterized. NCBI's taxonomy places the organism in Eukaryota, Metazoa, Chordata, Mammalia, Monotremata, Ornithorhynchidae. The record is from RefSeq and is a predicted model, not a curated record. The transcript is spliced from 3 exons.